Molecule: ribosomal RNA, 990 nt
Filed under: Salmonella enterica
Lineage: Bacteria; Pseudomonadati; Pseudomonadota; Gammaproteobacteria; Enterobacterales; Enterobacteriaceae
Also listed under: 2 other names
Description: partial 23S ribosomal RNA
Rfam family: Bacterial large subunit ribosomal RNA
Source: RNAcentral
AAUCCAUAGGUUAAUGAGGCGAACCGGGGGAACUGAAACAUCUAAGUACCCCGAGGAAAAGAAAUCAACCGAGAUUCCCCCAGUAGCGGCGAGCGAACGGGGAGGAGCCCAGAGCCUGAAUCAGCAUGUGUGUUAGUGGAAGCGUCUGGAAAGGCGCGCGAUACAGGGUGACAGCCCCGUACACAAAAGCGCAUGUGCUGUGAGCUCGAUGAGUAGGGCGGGACACGUGGUAUCCUGUCUGAAUAUGGGGGGACCAUCCUCCAAGGCUAAAUACUCCUGACUGACCGAUAGUGAACCAGUACCGUGAGGGAAAGGCGAAAAGAACCCCGGCGAGGGGAGUGAAAAAGAACCUGAAACCGUGUACGUACAAGCAGUGGGAGCACCCUUUGGGGUGUGACUGCGUACCUUUUGUAUAAUGGGUCAGCGACUUAUAUUCUGUAGCAAGGUUAACCGUAUAGGGGAGCCGGAGGGAAACCGAGUCUUAACCGGGCGUUAAGUUGCAGGGUAUAGACCCGAAACCCGGUGAUCUAGCCAUGGGCAGGUUGAAGGUUGGGUAACACUAACUGGAGGACCGAACCGACUAAUGUUGAAAAAUUAGCGGAUGACCUGUGGCUGGGGGUGAAAGGCCAAUCAAACCGGGAGAUAGCUGGUUCUCCCCGAAAGCUAUUUAGGUAGCGCCUCGUGAAUUCAUCUCCGGGGGUAGAGCACUGUUUCGGCUAGGGGGCCAUCCCGGCUUACCAACCCGAUGCAAACUGCGAAUACCGGAGAAUGUUAUCACGGGAGACACACGGCGGGUGCUAACGUCCGUCGUGAAGAGGGAAACAACCCAGACCGCCAGCUAAGGUCCCAAAGUCAUGGUUAAGUGGGAAACGAUGUGGGAAGGCCCAGACAGCCAGGAUGUUGGCUUAGAAGCAGCCAUCAUUUAAAGAAAGCGUAAUAGCUCACUGGUCGAGUCGGCCUGCGCGGAAGAUGUAACGGGGCUAAACCAUG